RNAcentral lists this ribosomal RNA (450 nucleotides) under uncultured bacterium. RNAcentral's name for it is "partial 16S ribosomal RNA". It matches the Rfam family "Bacterial small subunit ribosomal RNA", at positions 354 to 796 of the family's 1533-position model. The record is from RNAcentral.
GUGGGGAAUAUUGGACAAUGGGCGAAAGCCUGAUCCAGCCAUGCCGCGUGUGUGAAGAAGGUCUUCGGAUUGUAAAGCACUUUAAGUUGGGAGGAAGGGCAGUAAGUUAAUACCUUGCUGUUUUGACGUUACCGACAGAAUAAGCACCGGCUAACUUCGUGCCAGCAGCCGCGGUAAUACGAAGGGUGCAAGCGUUAAUCGGAAUUACUGGGCGUAAAGCGCGCGUAGGUGGGUCGUUAAGUUGGAUGUGAAAGCCCCGGGCUCAACCUGGGAACUGCAUCCAAAACUGGCGAGCUAGAGUACGGUAGAGGAUGGUGGAAUUUCCUGUGUAGCGGUGAAAUGCGUAGAUAUAGGAAGGAACACCAGUGGCGAAGGCGACCACCUGGACUGAUACUGACACUGAGGUGCGAAAGCGUGGGGAGCAAACAGGAUUAGAUACCCUAGUAGUCC